GGUAUCGUAGCUCAGUUGGCAGAGCGCACGGCGGAAACCGCCGCCGAUGGCCGCCGCAGGUUCGAUCCCUGCCGAUACCA
This 80-nucleotide transfer RNA is filed under the name Caudoviricetes sp. RNAcentral describes it as "tRNA-OTHER". It matches the Rfam family "tRNA". From Rfam's summary of the family: Transfer RNA (tRNA) molecules are approximately 80 nucleotides in length. Their secondary structure includes four short double-helical elements and three loops (D, anti-codon, and T loops). The record is from RNAcentral. Lineage: Duplodnaviria; Heunggongvirae; Uroviricota; Caudoviricetes.